ACAUUGUUGUAGUGUCCCAUACUAGGACGAAACGGCCGUCCAGUGU
Molecule: non-coding RNA, 46 nt
Filed under: Schistosoma margrebowiei
Lineage: Eukaryota; Metazoa; Platyhelminthes; Trematoda; Strigeidida; Schistosomatidae
Source: RNAcentral